GACAGAGGAGCCAAGCGUUGUCCGGAUUGACUGGGCGUAAAGGGCGUGUAGGCGGCCUGUUAAGUCUGAUGUGAAAUCCCCUCGCUCAACGAGGGAACUGCGUCGGAAACUGGCAGGCUCGAGUACCGGAGAGGAAGGUGGAAUUCCCGGUGUAGCGGUGAAAUGCGUAGAUAUCGGGAAGAACACCCGUGGCGAAGGCGGUUCUCUGGGACGGUACUGACGCUGAGACGCGAAAGCGUGGGGAGCGAACAGG
This 253-nucleotide ribosomal RNA is filed under the name uncultured bacterium. RNAcentral's name for it is "partial 16S ribosomal RNA". It matches the Rfam family "Bacterial small subunit ribosomal RNA", at positions 524 to 776 of the family's 1533-position model. The record is from RNAcentral.